AGUGGAUGUAGGAAAUGGGAUCCACAUGUGUGAGGUGAGGGAACGCCCCUAAUUGCAACGGGCAGCUGAGCAAACCUGACUGAAGGCUUCCAACUGCAAGGCUGACUGAAAACCUGCCCCUAAACAAACCCAAGAAGUUUAAUAGCUACUGUGGAGACUGCAAUUGGAUGCAAAUUUUGGGUCUGGCUUUUCAGAGAUGACACAGCAAGCCCCAGGUCAGAUGUAUGCCCAGUUCACAUCGGUCAGGAGAAGAGUGGGAGAGGAAAUUGUUAUCACAAUUGCAAAAGCCUGGCAGAAAAAUUAUUACAGCGCAGCUGUUUUUAAGAAUGGGUUUCCCACAUCACCCAAUCUCAAGAGACCACCUUGAACACUGCUUGGAAGGAAAGCAGCACUGAAGACAGCCAACUGCAAAAUAACCUGAGUGGCUUCCUCAUCCCACUUUGUCAAGAGUUCUCUGAAAAAGGAAAUGAAGACUUACAGGUUCCUAACUUCACAAGUCCUUUAGAAACAGAAAUGGCUCACAAAGGGAAGCAGAUACCCAUGCAUUUUGGAGGUCAGCCUCCUUUACCAAGGCACAGAGAAGGGAGCUAACUGGCUUGGUGUGCUGUCACCAGGGGCAGAAGGCGAUGCUGGCAGAAGCACUGGCUGUGUGUGGCUGUCCACCUUCCUUACCCUGGGAGCAGAUCCAAAGAUCAUACACUGGGAAAAGCUUAAUGCGUUUUCAUGUGAAAAAUAACCACCUUAGGAAGUGGGCCACAGUCCCACAGGAUAUCCCAGCAUCUCAGCGCCAGGCAUUUCAGCUUGCUGUUGCUGUAGGGCAACCCUGCAAGGAUGGAAAAAUGGGUAGGUUUUGGGCAGACAGGCAGUGUGGGAUGUUUUGCUACAGGUCGGGAAACUUCCUGAGGCUGUUAGACAGGAGGUGCAGGUCAAGUGUGUUUGGAGGUGAGUGGGUGGUGUGAAUCCCCCUCUCCUGAAGAGUUUUCCUCAGACCAAGCUUGGCACAGCCCAGGGUAAGUAGGCCUCAUGCAGCUGAAGAGAGGUUUUGUUUGCUUUCUUGUUUGCUGGUGCAAGGCUUCUCAGAGAGGCUGCUACGAGAAGUCAGGCUGGUAUUUUAACUCGAGUCCAGAAGCAUCAGCCCUGACGCAGAUUGGAGUGGAAAGUUCUCCUCUUAGAAAAACUGAAAUAAGAGGGUGGUUUCGCUCUGUGUACUGCUUGGGCCAGGCAGCUAUCAUUACUGACUUUCAGUCCUCAGUUCAACACGCGCUUAGAGCUCUAGCUCAGAAAUUGCGUGUCCUCUUCCCAUGCAGAGAGGAAAAAGGCAGCUCAGGUCCUCCUGCAUUGCAUGCAUGGUGAGCAGCACAACAUCUUGCUGGCAGCUGCUAAGUGCUGCUCAGCGUGGGCUGCCUCUUAUGCAACACCUGGGCAGUCCCAGGUGCAGACAAACAGGGUUGUGAAGCACAGUGCUUGCAGAACUCUUCCCUCCUUCCUUGUGAAACUCCCUCCUCCAAGCUACUGAAAUCCUGGGAUAAUAAUUAACUAAGUUAAAACUUGCUCCGUAAUCGCAGCCAUGUGCACUUUGCUGGGUGCGUUCAAGUUAGAAAUGUUUGCAUUUUAAGGCUCUUUCUGCGUGAUGGUCUUGCAGCACUAUGCAUACAUUCACUCAUUUGUUUUCACGUUAUGCUUUGUGUUUUAUUUUCAGUUGGAGGGAUGACAAGCUUCUUUUCAGGGUGUCCCUUGAAAGACACACAGGAAAAUUAAUCGCGUUACCUUAAACUGGGAAUAUAAAAAGGAUUUAAAUUGAAGGUGUGGGGGCCUAUUCCUUCCAAGCAAGAGCACUAACCCCCAGGUUAAGCUCAAUAAAUGGGCAGGGCAUCAGGGGACCAGUCUGCUCGGAGAGGUGGUGAGACCUUCAUGGCCACGGGCAGUGGUGGACAGGUGCAGGGCUGUGUGACCACUGCUCAGAACGGUGACAGCACCCAAUGCAGCUGCUUGUGAUGGCUCUAAAGCAGUGACAUUACAGAAAUGAUUGAGCAGAGAAAAACCCAUCUUUCUUCUGAUCCAGACUGGAAAGUCCUGGUUUGGAGAACUGGACAAGCAGAUGACCUUGGGAAAAGCUGAGAGCUGGAGUGAGGGGGAGGGAAGGAAGCCAGACCUCCAGGGAAGGGGUGGUUCUGUUUCAAGCCCUCUGAACUUUGGUUUCUUACACUACAGCCUGAUAAAUGUAGCAGCAGUUAAGACUUUUGGCUCUGAUGUGAGGGCUUCAGAGAGCUGUGGCUGGCUCUUGGAGAUGAGGAGAGGCUGUGCAGCCUCUGCUCCUGUCCCAAAUAAAUAAAUUAAAGCUGUGGGGUAAAGCCAGCAGCUGUUUUUUAAACAGAUUAAGGGUCUUAGUAUCCUCCUUGCCUUUUAGUGCACUGAGCCUUGCUGGGGCAGGCAGGCAGCAGGGCCCACCAGCUGCACGUGGGGCCAGUUUAUUGCUAAACCUUGUGUCUUGGCCCUGUCUGGCCCAGUAGUGUUUCUGUGCUAUGUCUGGUAUGUUAAAUACCCAAGAGUCAAUAAAAACAGGGAGCCACUUCCUAAUGAUGAAGGGCUGCAGGAGGAGAAGAGCAAGAGUUAAACCAGCGUAGGAGUUAAAUCUUGAAGCGCAGGCCCCUCAUGCUGUGAGCUGCCGAACACAUGGGCUGCCCAUCCUACCUCUCCUUGCUGAGGGUAGAAAGGCUGAGCAUGAUCAAGUUCCAUCAUCAAGUGAAAAGGCAAAACGCUGCACUAGCAGUGUACCCUGUGGAGUGGCUGCAAAUACACAACAUGCCCAAAGCUGGUUUGUGAACAAAAACAUAUUCUCACAUUACUCUCUGUCCUAUUUGCUUUAACUGCAUUUCCUGCAUUUUCACUACUUUGUUACUUUUGCAUGACUGAGGAAGGCAAACAGUAGCAUAACCAGUACCUUGGCAGUGAUUUGGUAGCUGCAGAACUUCCUUGUACAGCAGUACAGCAUUUGCUUCAUUUAUUAAGUCAUUAGAGAACUCUUACGACGUUAUAACGGCAGCUGCCUAAGGUAUUGUUUGUCUAAAUGUUGCACUGGGGGCCAGGGAACACACGACUGCCUCUGAACGUCAUAACCAGCCUGAAACUCCUGAUAACUACACUUUCCUCCCUCUCUCCAGCCUUUGAGUAAAAAAUAUUUGUAUUCAGAUGGUAUCUGUUUAAAUAUUUGUAUACCAGGUCUGGCCACGUACCUCAGCACUUCCAGCACAUUGGUAUCUAUAGGUGCUGAAUGAUUCCAAAG
Long non-coding RNA from Gallus gallus (chicken), 3283 nucleotides. Lineage: Eukaryota; Metazoa; Chordata; Aves; Galliformes; Phasianidae. The record is from Ensembl.